UACAGAGGGAGCUAGCGUUGUUCGGAAUUACUGGGCGUAAAGCGCACGUAGGCGGCUUUGUAAGUUAGAGGUGAAAGCCUGGGGCUCAACCCCAGAAUUGCCUUUAAGACUGCAUCGCUUGAAUCCAGGAGAGGUGAGUGGAAUUCCGAGUGUAGAGGUGAAAUUCGUAGAUAUUCGGAAGAACACCAGUGGCGAAGGCGGCUCACUGGACUGGUAUUGACGCUGAGGUGCGAAAGCGUGGGGAGCAAACAGG
RNAcentral lists this ribosomal RNA (253 nucleotides) under uncultured bacterium. RNAcentral's name for it is "partial 16S ribosomal RNA". It matches the Rfam family "Bacterial small subunit ribosomal RNA", at positions 524 to 776 of the family's 1533-position model. The record is from RNAcentral.